RNAcentral lists this small RNA (27 nucleotides) under Bombyx mori (domestic silkworm). RNAcentral's name for it is "ovarian small RNA-17884". The record is from RNAcentral. Lineage: Eukaryota; Metazoa; Arthropoda; Insecta; Lepidoptera; Bombycidae.
GUGCGAUGGUAAAAACGAGACGUUGGU